Molecule: ribosomal RNA, 103 nt
Filed under: Cylindrospermopsis raciborskii CS-506_D
Lineage: Bacteria; Bacillati; Cyanobacteriota; Cyanophyceae; Nostocales; Aphanizomenonaceae
Source: RNAcentral
CCUGGUGUCUAUGGUGCGGUGGAACCACACUGAUCCCUUCCCGAACUCAGAGGUGAAACGCUGUUGCGGCGACGAUAGUAUGGGGGUUGCCCUAUGUCAAAAU